UACGUAGGGGGGCAAGCGUUGUCCGGAAUCAUUGGGCGUAAAGAGCGUGUAGGUGGCUCGGUAAGUCCGCUGUGAAAGUCCAGGGCUCAACCCUGGAAAGCCGGUGGAAACUGUCGAGCUCGAGUCCGGAAGAGGCGAGUGGAAUCCUGGUGUAGCGGUGAAAUGCGCAGAUAUCAGGAGGAACACCAUGGCGAAGGCAGCUCGCUGGGACGGUACUGACACUGAGACGCGAAGCG
This 236-nucleotide ribosomal RNA is filed under the name uncultured bacterium. RNAcentral describes it as "partial 16S ribosomal RNA". It matches the Rfam family "Bacterial small subunit ribosomal RNA", at positions 524 to 761 of the family's 1533-position model. The record is from RNAcentral.